RNAcentral lists this ribosomal RNA (403 nucleotides) under uncultured bacterium. Its description in RNAcentral is "partial 16S ribosomal RNA". It matches the Rfam family "Bacterial small subunit ribosomal RNA", at positions 28 to 526 of the family's 1533-position model. The record is from RNAcentral.
GACGAACGCUGGCGGCGUGCCUAAUACAUGCAAGUCGAACGCAGUGGGGACGGGUGAGUAACACGUUGGUAACCUCCCAUCAGAGGGGAUAACACUUGGAAACAGGUGCUAAACCGAUACUGAUGGAUGGACCCGCGGUGCAUUAGCUAGUUGGUGAGGUAACGGCUCACCAAGGCCACGAUGCAUAGCAGACCUGAAGGGGUAGUCGAACACACUGGGACUGCGUCACGGCCCAGACUCCUGCGGGAGGCAGCAAUAUGGAAUCUUCGGAAAUGGACGAAAGUCUGACCGAGCAACGCCGCGUGAGUGAAGAAGGUUUUCGGAUCGUAAAACUCUGUUGUUAGAGAAGCGGUAUCUAACAAGAAAGCCAAGGCUAACUACGUGCCAGCAGCCGCGGUAAUAC